GUGCCAGCAGCCGCGGUAAUACAGAGGUGGCAAGCGUUGUUCGGAAUUACUGGGCGUAAAGGGCGCGUAGGCGGCCUUCUAAGUCGGACGUGAAAUCCCCAGGCUUAACUUGGGAACUGCGUCCGAUACUGGAGGGCUUGAGUGCGGGAGAGGGAUGUGGAAUUCCAGGUGUAGCGGUGAAAUGCGUAGAUAUCUGGAGGAACACCGGUGGCGAAGGCGGCAUCCUGGACCGACACUGACGCUGAUGCGCGAAAGCCAGGGGAGCAAACGGGAUUAGAUACCCCUGUAGUCC
This 292-nucleotide ribosomal RNA is filed under the name uncultured bacterium. RNAcentral's name for it is "partial 16S ribosomal RNA". It matches the Rfam family "Bacterial small subunit ribosomal RNA", at positions 505 to 796 of the family's 1533-position model. The record is from RNAcentral.